Molecule: ribosomal RNA, 200 nt
Filed under: uncultured bacterium
Lineage: Bacteria
Description: partial 16S ribosomal RNA
Rfam family: Bacterial small subunit ribosomal RNA
Source: RNAcentral
AGAGUUUGAUCCUGGCUCAGGACGAACGCUGGCGGCGUGCUUAACACAUGCAAGUCGAACGAUGAAGCCCUUCGGGGUGGAUUAGUGGCGAACGGGUGAGUAACACGUGGGCAACCUGCCCUCCACUCUGGGAUAACUCCGGGAAACCGGGGCUAAUACUGGAUACGACCACUUGGCGCAUGCCGGGUGGUGGAAAGUUU